This 27-nucleotide small RNA is filed under the name Bombyx mori (domestic silkworm). Its description in RNAcentral is "ovarian small RNA-34676". Lineage: Eukaryota; Metazoa; Arthropoda; Insecta; Lepidoptera; Bombycidae. The record is from RNAcentral.
UGGAUGCAUUGGUGCGGAAUGCCAUCC